Molecule: ribosomal RNA, 56 nt
Filed under: Medicago suffruticosa
Lineage: Eukaryota; Viridiplantae; Streptophyta; Magnoliopsida; Fabales; Fabaceae
Description: partial 18S ribosomal RNA
Source: RNAcentral
UUCUCGAUGUGCAGAGUCAUUAAUGGAUGCUACCUGGUUGAUCCUGCCAGUAGUCA